RNAcentral lists this ribosomal RNA (462 nucleotides) under uncultured bacterium. Its description in RNAcentral is "partial 16S ribosomal RNA". It matches the Rfam family "Bacterial small subunit ribosomal RNA", at positions 29 to 507 of the family's 1533-position model. The record is from RNAcentral.
AACAAACGCUGGCGGCGUGCCUAAUACAUGCAAGUCGAACGGGGAAAGCUUUCGGGUGAGUACUAGUGGCGCACGGGUGAGGAACGCGUGGAUAAUCUGCCUUAGAGUGGGGGAUAACUAGUCGAAAGAUUAGCUAAUACCGCAUAAGACCACGAGAGCUGCGGCUUUUGAGGUCAAAGGUUUUUCGCUCUAAGAUGAGUCCGCGUAAGAUUAGCUAGUUGGUGAGGUAACGGCUCACCAAGGCGACGAUCUUUAACUGGUCUGAGAGGAUGAUCUGUCACACUGGAACUGAGACACGGUCCAGACUCCUACGGGAGGCAGCAGUAGGGAAUAUUGCACAAUGGAGGAAACUCUGAUGCAGCGACGCCGCGUGAGUGAUGAAGGCCUUCGGGUCGUAAAGCUCUGUCGCAGGGGAAUAACACAAUGAAGGUACCCUGUAAGAAAGGAUCGGCUAACUUCGUG